CCUACGGGAGGCAGCAGUGGGGAAUCUUGCGCAAUGGGCGAAAGCCUGACGCAGCAACGCCGCGUGCGGGAAGAAGGCUUUCGGGCUGUAAACCGCUUUCAGCAGGAACGAAAAUGACGGUACCUGCAGAAGAAGGAGCGGCCAACUAUGUGCCAGCAGCCGCGGUGAUACAUAGGCUUCAAGCGUUGUCCGGAUUUAUUGGGCGUAAAGAGUUCGUAGGCGGUCGAGUAAGUCGGGUGUGAAAAUUCUGGGCUCAACCCAGAGACGCCACCCGAUACUGCUUGACUUGAGUUCGAUAGGGGAGUGGGGAAUUCCUAGUGUAGCGGUGAAAAUGCGCAGAUAUUAGGAGGAACACCGGUGGCGAAGGCGCCACUCUGGAUCGAUACUGACGCUGAGGAACGAAAGCAUGGGUAGCAAACAGGAUUAGAUACCCUGGUAGUCCAUGCCGUAAACGGUGGGCACUAGGUNUGGGUUUCUAUUAACGAAAUCCGCGCCGUCGCUAAACGCAUUAAGUNCCCCGCCGUCGGGAGGUACGGUCGCGAGAACGUAAACUAACAAAGAAAGUAAGUAGGCGUUGAGAGUUGCCGAACGGACGACGACGAGGGAGGAGG
RNAcentral lists this ribosomal RNA (611 nucleotides) under uncultured bacterium. RNAcentral describes it as "bacterial SSU rRNA". The stretch from base 1 to 522 matches the Rfam family "Bacterial small subunit ribosomal RNA", at positions 338 to 873 of the family's 1533-position model. The record is from RNAcentral.